ACAGAGGGUGCAAGCGUUAUUCGGAAUUACUGGGCGUAAAGCGCGCGUAGGUGGUUUGUUAAGUUGGAUGUGAAAGCCCCGGGCUCAACCUGGGAACUGCAUUCAAAACUGACAAGCUAGAGUAUGGUAGAGGGUGGUGGAAUUUCCAGUGUAGCGGUGAAAUGCGUAGAUAUAAGAAAGAACACCGAUGGCGAAGGCGACCCCCUGGACUGAUACUGACGCUGAGGCGCGAAAGCGUGGGGAGCAAACAG
This 251-nucleotide ribosomal RNA is filed under the name uncultured prokaryote. RNAcentral describes it as "partial 16S rRNA". It matches the Rfam family "Bacterial small subunit ribosomal RNA", at positions 525 to 775 of the family's 1533-position model. The record is from RNAcentral.